AGUGAACGCUGGCGGUAGGCCUAACACAUGCAAGUCGAACGGCAACACAGUAAGAGCUUGCGCUUACGGGUGGCGAGUGGCGGACGGGUGAGGAAUCCAUCGGAAUCUACUUUUUCGUGGGGGAUAACGUGGGAAAACUUACGCUAAUACCGCAUACGACCUACGGCUGAAAGCAGGGGCUCUUCGGACCUUGCGCGAUUGAAUGAGCAGAUGUCGGAUUAGCUAGUUGGUGGGGUAAAGGCCCACCUAGGCGACGAUCCGUAGCUGGUCUGAGAGGAUGACCAGCCACACUGGAACUGAGACACGGUCCAGACUCCUACGGGAGGCAGCAGUGGGGAAUAUUGGACAAUGGGCGCAAGCCUGAUCCAGCCAUGCCGCGUGGGUGAAGAAGGCCUUCGGGUUGUAAAGCCCUUUUGUUGGGAAAGAAAAGCAGAAGGUUAAUACCCCGCUGUUCUGACGUUACCCAAAGAAUAAGCACCGGCUAACUUCGUG
RNAcentral lists this ribosomal RNA (492 nucleotides) under uncultured bacterium. Its description in RNAcentral is "partial 16S ribosomal RNA". It matches the Rfam family "Bacterial small subunit ribosomal RNA", at positions 29 to 507 of the family's 1533-position model. The record is from RNAcentral.